Molecule: long non-coding RNA, 224 nt
Organism: Daphnia carinata
Lineage: Eukaryota; Metazoa; Arthropoda; Branchiopoda; Diplostraca; Daphniidae
Exons: 2
Source: RefSeq, a predicted model, not a curated record
AGACAAUCCAAUUCCUUGGAGCAGGGUCCAGCCUUCUGGACGAAAAAUUUCGAUGGGCUUUCUACAAAAGAUACCAUCACUUCGCAGAAUCUAGAAAUGCGAUCAAGGAUAUUUGAAGGAUAAGGAAACUAGUUACACGGGACCCAACCUGGAUCAAUGAAAGAGACAGCUGUGCAGGUUUCUUCCUCAAUCUGUUUAAUACUAGUACCAUUCCUUCCAAUGAG